UUUUGUUCUUUAGUAGAAGGAUAACAUGACAUAGCAGGAAUAAUACUGCCUUUUCUUUCUGGCAUGGAUCAAGAGAAAAGAAAAUACAAGAAAACAGACAGAAGAUCCUAUCUGUGACAAUUAAGAGCACUCUAAGAGGAAAACACAUCCCACCACACAAGGCAAGCUACAUCUAUAGAAGGGUGAGCCCUCACAGAUGGAGCAAUGGUGAGUGCACACCUGAACAAGGGAGGGGAAGGAGUUCUUAUCCCUGACGCAUGUGGCCCCUGCUGCUGUGUCGUUCUCCUAUUGGCUAAGGCUUCUGAUAGCUUUGGAGAUUGUGACAUUGGAAUACAGAAAAAACGUACAGGACUCAUGAAGAGCUGAAAUGUUCACAAAUAUCAAGCAAAAGUCAAUGACAUUUAUUUUGAGCUAUUUACAGCGUUUCAUAAUUGAGCAAGGUAUACUCCUAUGAACAAAAUUUGGAGCAUGUUUGUCUCUCUCUCUCUGCCUGGCAUCUUCAGAAUUUGGAAACUAGUUAUGGUUUAUAAUCAGCUAUAGAAUUUUGACACAUGCUCUCAAAUGCAGGUUUCUGUUAACUUUGGAGAUUGUGACAUUGGAAUAAAGGAAGAGCUGAAAUGUUCACGAAUAUCAAGCAAAAGUCAAGGAAAUUUAUUUUGAGCUAUUUACAGCAUUUAAUAAUUGAGCAAGGUAUAUUCCUAUGAACAAAAUUUGGAGCAUGUUUGUCUCUGUCUGUCUGCCUGGCGUCUACAGAAUUUGGAAACUAGUUUCUUUCUCAGAUUUCCUAAACUUUCCAGAGAAAAUGGUCUUCUCCCUGGCUCAGCAAGAAGAUGAACUUUAAACACUGAGAAAGUCAUCAUCUCCCUGGCUCAACCAGAAGAUGAACUUUAAACACUAUUCUCAAUGACUCGAUGUUCCCAUCACUACUACUAUCAUAAAGGGAGGGGACCCAGAUACUGAGAAUUUUAUCAUAGUGUGAACUGUCUGGUAUGUCAUUUAAGUAAGCCCAUUGCUGAAAUAUUUUCCAUGUUAUUAGAAAGAGCUGAAGAGAGGGGUUGCAAUGGCUUCUUUAUUUUUUGUCUUUUGGGGAUUAAAGGAACCUGGUUCAACAAGGGCCUACACCUAAGUCUCUUGUUGUACCAGAGUACAAUUUAGGACUGCUCCUGAGAAGGAAUUAGCUAGAAAUCUAGAGAGUAAGGGUAACAGAUUUACAAUAGAAUAACAGCCUCAGUAUUUUUGGUUCCUCUCCAGUAACGAUCACAAAGAAUAUUGCUAAAUCGCUAAAACACCUUUGCAAUAACGUAAGUGCUUACAGCUAUAUACCAAUGUAGCUCAGUUACUAAACUGGAGUAAAAUAAUUUCUCUUGUGUAGAAAAAUUGGUUGGCUGUGGUUUUAUAGCAGAUUUGCAACUAUUAAUAGUUAUGCCAAUAAUCGUUUAACAGUGCAUAUGUUAAUAUAUAUGGAAAGACAAUGUGUAUAGACAGAUGUGUAAAAUUGAAAAAUAAACAUAUAACGAGAGAGAAACAUCUAUCGAACAGACAAUAUACAUACACGUCAAACACAACAGCAGUUUUAGUGACCAUAAUAUUUAUUUCUCAUUUUUACGUUGGUUACAUUAGUGACAACUGAAAAUGACAGUUGGCAAUGCAGCUAACAGUUUCAAUAAAAGUAUAAAACAAAAGACUGUGUACAAAGCACAUGUCUUUCUGCUUUUGUAAUCUUCCGUUGGAAAAAAUUUACACACCUAAGUAACCAUCUGUUUUCUUCAAGAAAAAAUCAUUCUUAUUUCCCUCUCUCAUCUUGAAAACAGCUGUCAGCCAGGAGGGCAGAGCUGAAAUUUAUUGUCACAUCACAUGAAGCAUAGAACAGACUCCACUACUCCUUAAGUUUCAAAACUUUGCCUCUCACAAAGUUACCUUUUAUUUUCCUCUUGUUUGUCACUCAUCUCCCCUACUGUGCUCUUUUUAUUUCUUUUACUAUUAAUAAUAAAGUUUGUGGAUGACUGUA
Molecule: long non-coding RNA, 2008 nt
Filed under: Pongo abelii (Sumatran orangutan)
Lineage: Eukaryota; Metazoa; Chordata; Mammalia; Primates; Hominidae
Description: lincRNA
Source: RNAcentral